GGGCGCUUAGCUCAGCUGGUAGAGCACUGUCUUCACACGGCAGGGGUCACAGGUUCGAGUCCUGUAGCGCCUACCA
This 76-nucleotide transfer RNA is filed under the name Planctomycetota bacterium. Its description in RNAcentral is "Planctomycetes bacterium (wastewater metagenome) tRNA-Val". It matches the Rfam family "tRNA". From Rfam's summary of the family: Transfer RNA (tRNA) molecules are approximately 80 nucleotides in length. Their secondary structure includes four short double-helical elements and three loops (D, anti-codon, and T loops). The record is from RNAcentral. Lineage: Bacteria; Pseudomonadati; Planctomycetota.